This 254-nucleotide ribosomal RNA is filed under the name uncultured bacterium. RNAcentral describes it as "partial 16S ribosomal RNA". It matches the Rfam family "Bacterial small subunit ribosomal RNA", at positions 524 to 776 of the family's 1533-position model. The record is from RNAcentral.
UACGAAGGGUGCAAGCGUUACUCGGAAUUACUGGGCGUAAAGCGUGCGUAGGCGGUUUGUUAAGUCCGUUGUGAAAGCCCCGGGCUCAACCUGGGAACGGCGCGCGAGACGGGGGGGCUGGAGUUCGGGAGAGGAGCGUGGAAUUCCCAGUGUAGAGGUGAAAUUCGUAGAUAUUGGGAAGAACACCGGUGGCGAAGGCGGCGCUCGUGGACCGAGACUGACGCUGAGGCGCGAAAGCGUGGGGAGCAAACAGG